CCUACGGGAGGCAGCAGUGGGGAAUUUCGGACAAUGGGCGAAAGCCUGAUCCAGCAAUGCCGCGUGCAGGAUGAAGGCCUUCGGGUUGUAAACUGCUUUUGUACGGAACGAAAAAGCUUCUCCUAAUACGAGAGGCCCAUGACGGUACCGUAAGAAUAAGCACCGGCUAACUACGUGCCAGCAGCCGCGGUAAU
RNAcentral lists this ribosomal RNA (194 nucleotides) under uncultured bacterium. Its description in RNAcentral is "partial 16S ribosomal RNA". It matches the Rfam family "Bacterial small subunit ribosomal RNA", at positions 338 to 524 of the family's 1533-position model. The record is from RNAcentral.